GACGAACGCUGGCGGCGUGCUUAACACAUGCAAGUCGAACGGAAAGGCCCUGCUUUUGUGGGGUGCUCGAGUGGCGAACGGGUGAGUAACACGUGAGUAAUCUGCCCUUGACUUUGGGAUAACUUCAGGAAACUGGGGCUAAUACCGGAUAGGAGCUCCUGCUGCAUGGUGGGGGUUGAAAAGUUUCGGCGGUCGGGGAUGGACUCGCGGCUUAUCAGCUUGUUGGUGGGGUAGUGGCUUACCAAGGCUUUGACGGGUAGCCGGCCUGAGAGGGUGACCGGCCACAUUGGGACUGAGAUACGGCCCAGACUCCUACGGGAGGCAGCAGUGGGGAAUAUUGCACAAUGGGCGGAAGCCUGAUGCAGCAACGCCGCGUGCGGGAUGACGGCCUUCGGGUUGUAAACCGCUUUCGCCUGUGACGAAGCGUGAGUGACGGUAAUGGGUAAAGAAGCACCGGCUAACUACGUG
This 468-nucleotide ribosomal RNA is filed under the name uncultured bacterium. RNAcentral describes it as "partial 16S ribosomal RNA". It matches the Rfam family "Bacterial small subunit ribosomal RNA", at positions 28 to 507 of the family's 1533-position model. The record is from RNAcentral.